This 153-nucleotide ribosomal RNA is filed under the name Beauveria bassiana. RNAcentral describes it as "5.8S ribosomal RNA". It matches the Rfam family "5.8S ribosomal RNA". From Rfam's summary of the family: 5.8S ribosomal RNA (5.8S rRNA) is a component of the large subunit of the eukaryotic ribosome. It is transcribed by RNA polymerase I as part of the 45S precursor that also contains 18S and 28S rRNA. Functionally, it is thought that 5.8S rRNA may be involved in ribosome translocation. The record is from RNAcentral. Lineage: Eukaryota; Fungi; Ascomycota; Sordariomycetes; Hypocreales; Cordycipitaceae.
AAACUUUCAACAACGGAUCUCUUGGCUCUGGCAUCGAUGAAGAACGCAGCGAAACGCGAUAAGUAAUGUGAAUUGCAGAAUCCAGUGAAUCAUCGAGUCUUUGAACGCACAUUGCGCCCGCCAGCAUUCUGGCGGGCAUGCCUGUUCGAGCGU